UAGGGAAUCUUCCGCAAUGGACGCAAGUCUGACGGAGCAACGCCGCGUGAGUGAAGAAGGAUUUCGGUUCGUAAAACUCUGUUGUUAGAGAAGAACAGCGCAUAGAGUAACUGUUAUGCGUGUGACGGUAUCUAACCAGAAAGCCACGGCUAACUACGUGCCAGCAGCCGCGGUAAUACGUAGGUGGCAAGCGUUGUCCGGAUUUAUUGGGCGUAAAGCGAGCGUAGGCGGUAAAUUAAGUCUGAUGUGAAAGCCCACGGCUCAACCCGGGGGGGUCAUUGGAAACUGGUUGACUUGAGUGCAGAAGAGGAGAGUGGAAUUCCAUGUGUAGCGGUGAAAUGCGUAGAUAUAUGGAGACACACCAGUGGCGAAGGCGACUCUCUUGUCUGAAACUGACGCAGAGGCUCGAAAGCGUGGGUAGCAAACAGG
Molecule: ribosomal RNA, 429 nt
Filed under: Bacteroidota bacterium
Lineage: Bacteria; Pseudomonadati; Bacteroidota
Description: Bacteroidetes bacterium partial 16S ribosomal RNA
Rfam family: Bacterial small subunit ribosomal RNA
Source: RNAcentral